AGAGUUUGAUCCUGGCUCAGGAUGAACGCUAGCUACAGGCUUAACACAUGCAAGUCGAGGGGAAACGACAUCGAAAGCUUGCUUUUGAUGGGCGUCGACCGGCGCACGGGUGAGUAACGCGUAUCCAACCUGCCCACCACUUGGGGAUAACCUUGCGAAAGUAAGACUAAUACCCAAUGACGUCUCUAGAAGACAUCUGAAAGAGAUUAAAGAUUUAUCGGUGAUGGAUGGGGAUGCGUCUGAUUAGCUUGGUUGGCGGGGUAACGGCCGCCAAGGCUACGAUCAGUAGGGGUUCUGAGAGGAACGGUCCCCCANAUUGGAACUGAGACACGGUCCAAACUCCGUACGGGAGCA
Molecule: ribosomal RNA, 354 nt
Filed under: uncultured bacterium
Lineage: Bacteria
Description: bacterial SSU rRNA
Rfam family: Bacterial small subunit ribosomal RNA
Source: RNAcentral